GGAUUCCCCGGAAGCGCUGGCGCAUCGCGACGCCCCGAGUCGAGCUCGCUCACCGAUGGAAAUUCCGGCCGUCCAGCCGCACUACCACCCAGCAGUGUGCCAGGCAGGUGUCGUCAGCCUCGAAGUCCCUCACGUACUCGAACUUGCUUUUUGCCAUGGUCGCCCCCAAUCUCAGGUACCGUCUCAGAGUGAUGGAAAUGGUGGCCAAGGAAUCGUGAACCUUAACUUUACAGGCGCCCCACAUUCUACACGCGGAAAGGAAAGGGCCAGAUAGCCCCGCCCCGGAAGUGUUCUCUUCGCGGCUACUCUAGCCGUAGGGCAGUCAUAGUCUCUCUCGCCUCUCCCUGUAGUUCUUAACCUCCCAGGCAAAGAGGAUGGAGGUUUAGGUUCCUCCGUUAGCACCUUCCACGCUUGCUUCUUCCUCCUCCCGUCCUGCGGCAAAUCAGUCUCACGAGGUUUUUAAAAAUUAUUUUUUAUCUGCUGGUCUUGACUUACUGGCAAAAGCAAUCAGUGUCCCCGUUAGUGCCCAGAUCAAAAUCAUACCCCAACCUAAAAAAAAAAAAAAAAAAAAAAAUUCUUUUUCUGGUGUUUGAAGGUGUAGCUGUGAUGUUUCCCCUUUUCUUAGUGGCAUUUAUUAACUUGUAGAAAAUCUGGAAUACACCAAAACUAUAGUUAAGAAAAUUAACACUUUGUUUCUCCGUCUUUCCCAUCAAAGCAUUGUGGAUGGUUCCUUUCAGUCUUUUUUCUUUUUGUGUAUGUAGGUUUACACAGGGAAUGCACAAGAUU
This 786-nucleotide long non-coding RNA is filed under the name Homo sapiens (human). RNAcentral's name for it is "non-protein coding lnc-SOX30-3:4". Lineage: Eukaryota; Metazoa; Chordata; Mammalia; Primates; Hominidae. The record is from RNAcentral.